GUUAAUUCUACUACAGGUUAGGAAGAAAACGGGUUUUCUUAUGGGCGAGUUUGGCACAGGGAAAAUUUCUGCCGCUAUGUGCGCUGGCGUAGCGAAAGGGUGCACAACACUGCCAUUUUAUGAGGGUGAACGUGAGAAAACCGCAUUGAAGUCAAAUAAAAUAGUCGGUAUGGUAUUUAGUUAUGUGCUUUUUGUUUGCAAGAAUUAUAUUGAACAAGUCUUCCGUUAAGAAUGUGUGGAUUUCACAACUUUAUGAAUACGUAAAUAAAAACUAUACUGCGUUUUUGUUUCGCUGUGAGCAAUCUGCAUAUGAAGGCUGUUGAUGGUGAAAGAAACAAUUCUGGCUGAUAUUUGGUGGAUAAUUCCCAUGUGUCAAUAUACUCGAAGGAACCAAGAAGUGUCUACAUAAGAAAUAAAGAAUUUUCCAUGUUCCAAUACAGGAAAAUCUUUAUUUUUGUUAAGUGCAGUUUAUGAAUAGAAGCAAAUAUUUCUUUUAAUGUUUUAUUAUUACUGUAUUGUUUUUAUAUCAGUUAUUAUAAUAAUUAACUAAACAAAUAAUUCUGAGUAGCCUAUUUGUUAUGUACAGACAUAAUAUUGAAAUAUUUCAAAAUUUAGAGUUUUACCUUUUCAUCAUCUGAUCCAACAGUCAGGCCUUUCCAUGGUUUGUUGUUGUCUAGUAUGGAAUAAACUUGUGCAACUUUUUCUAUGUAAUUUACGGUGCCAGAAAUAUUUUCUAGACCAGGCUUGUUACUGUAAAACUUCAAAGCUGCAGCUGUUUCCAUUGUGAAAAGCUAAAAGCAUGAAAAUUUCAUUAUAAUUUUUACAGCAAUAAUAAAUUAUUUUUUUUAAGGUGAGUUUCAUGUAAGUUUCUAACCAGUUUUAAUCAUGUAAUUACCCUCAAUGUAUUGUGUUUUUUGUGAUAUGUAAAUUAAAUUAUUAAGCUAGGUUGUUUGUAUAAAAAAAUGUUAAAUAUAAAACUAUACUGGUGACAUACAAUUUAUUAAUUUUUUUAGUUCUUAAAUAUAAUGUUUUCAUCAGUGAUUAUUGGAUUAUUUCAUUUCAUGCAUAUGCCCAAUACAAAUAACUUAAUAAUUUAGUAAAACUUUUGUUGUCUCCCCAUGUUACAAAUAAUUAAUGGUAAAAAAUAAACUGUCUAUAAAAUUA
Molecule: long non-coding RNA, 1164 nt
Organism: Bacillus rossius redtenbacheri
Lineage: Eukaryota; Metazoa; Arthropoda; Insecta; Phasmatodea; Bacillidae
Exons: 2
Source: RefSeq, a predicted model, not a curated record